Vulpes vulpes (red fox) is the source of this 107-nucleotide small nuclear RNA. The record is from Ensembl. NCBI's taxonomy places the organism in Eukaryota, Metazoa, Chordata, Mammalia, Carnivora, Canidae.
GUGCUCACAUCAGCAGCACAUAUACUACAGCUGGAAUGGUACAGGGAAGAUUAGCAUGGCCCCUGCACAAGGAUGAUGUGCAAAUUUGUGGACUGUUUCAUAUUUUU